CUUGAACUUAUAUAAGAGGUCCAGCCUGCCCAGUGACUUUUGUUUAACGGCCGCGGUAUCCUAACCGUGCGAAGGUAGCGUAAUCACUUGUUCUUUAAAUAAGGACUAGUAUGAAUGGCAUCACGAGGGUUAUACUGUCUCCUUUUUCUAAUCAGUGAAACUAAUCUCCCCGUGAAGAAGCGGGGGUAAUAAUAUAAGACGAGAAGACCCUAUGGAGCUUUAAACUAAACAACACUUGCUUUACCAAUUUUAAAUUUCAGAAAAAGAACUCAUUUAACAAGAUGAUUGUAAGUUUUAGGUUGGGGUGACCAUGGAGUAAAAAUCAACCUCCAUACUGAACAACACUUAAUGUUUUAUCCACGAGCUACCGCUCUAAGCAUCAAAAUAUUGACAUCUAUUGACCCAUUACUUUGAUCAACGAAC
Molecule: ribosomal RNA, 423 nt
Filed under: Pseudopaludicola ameghini group sp. ABGD cluster 1
Lineage: Eukaryota; Metazoa; Chordata; Amphibia; Anura; Leptodactylidae
Description: partial large subunit ribosomal RNA
Rfam family: Archaeal large subunit ribosomal RNA
Source: RNAcentral